RNAcentral lists this ribosomal RNA (475 nucleotides) under uncultured bacterium. RNAcentral describes it as "bacterial SSU rRNA". It matches the Rfam family "Bacterial small subunit ribosomal RNA", at positions 30 to 497 of the family's 1533-position model. The record is from RNAcentral.
AUUGAACGCUGGCGGCAUGCCUUACACAUGCAAGUCGAACGGCAGCACGGGUACUUGUACCUGGUGGCGAGUGGCGAACGGGUGAGUAAUACAUCGGAACGUACCUUAUCGUGGGGGAUAACGCAGCGAAAGCUGUGCUAAUACCGCAUACGCCCUGAGGGGGAAAGCGGGGGAUCGAAAGACCUCGCGCGAUUAGAGCGGCCGAUGCUUGAUUAGCUUGUUGGUGGGGUAAAAGCCCACCAAGGCGACGAUCAAUAGCUGGUCUGAGAGGACGAUCAGCCACACUGGGACUGAGACACGGCCCAGACUCCUACGGGAGGCAGCAGUGGGGAAUUUUGGACAAUGGGGGCAACCCUGAUCCAGCAAUGCCGCGUGAGUGAAGAAGGCCUUCGGGUUGUAAAGCUCUUUUGUCAGGGAAGAAACACCGGCUCUAACACAGUCCGGGAAUGACGGUACCUGAAGAAUAAGCUACGUG